Molecule: non-coding RNA, 2212 nt
Organism: Punica granatum (pomegranate)
Lineage: Eukaryota; Viridiplantae; Streptophyta; Magnoliopsida; Myrtales; Lythraceae
Source: RefSeq, a predicted model, not a curated record
CCCCUUCUCACUAAAUGUCGAGGAUGUGUCAUGGACCCAUCCAGCUAUUAAUUGUUUGCUACAACUUCUCCCAUAUCCAUAUCCAUGCCUUUUUUGAAUGACGCGUUUCGUGUCUCUAAUUGCUGCCUAUACAUUUUUCAGGUAGUUCACGGGAGGGAGAAGCAAUGAUGCCUGAGCAGAAGCAGCAGCAUCCUUUGUCUCUUCGUCCUGCGGAUGAUGCUGUUACAUGUGAUGAGACCGUAGCAUAUGUCAUCUACUGUCACGGGGACCUCUACACAAUUCAUGCAUUACAUGUCAAUGAUAGCGAUCCUGAUGACCCCUCGCCACAAUCCGUUCUCACUCUCCAGCCCCAUGAUCUUCCACAACUGAUGGGUUUCGGUUGCUUGGGCUCCUCAAUCUGCAUGAUUGGAGGCGAGUAGGAUCGGCCUUCUCCAAAUAGAGGCGCGUCUCUCGACGUUUAUAUCCUUGACACACACUGUCUCCCGUCCACCACAGUUCCUCUAGGAAACCCCCUCGCCUAUCUUAGGAAAGGGCCAAGACUCAAUGCCCCCAAACUUCUCCCCAUUGUCAUCACUCACCUUGGGAAGUUUUACGUGCUCCCAAAUUCAUUCGAUCCUUCUGAUACGGGUGACUAUCUCAAACCACGGGGUGAAGUUCUCAACCCGACUCCGAUAAGUGGGCUGCCCUCCCCAAACCAACGAUCGAUCCUCCUGAUAUCAAAGCCUUUUCUAGGCCAUGCCAUUACAAAGUGAAAUCCUUCCAUGUUGUGGACUCUUGCAUAGUUUUGAGCCCACAGUGUGGGCUAGUCUAUGUGUUGGAUAGCAAUAAACCACGUGAAGACUGGAAGACCAUCUCGGGGACUGACUGGUUACCAGAGCUUCACGAAAGUUGGAGAUUUGGAUGUGGGUCCGAGGUUGUGGAUGGUUUGUUGUAUCCAUGGUUUUCGUCCCCAUCCCUUCACCAUGGGGCCCACCUCUUUGCCUACAAUCCUCUUAAACAGGGGAAGGGAGUAGGGAAACUUAUCCCAGUUCACCAUCCGACACCCGGGAGAAGUGGCCGAAAAAUCUUUUCCGGUCAGUGCAGCGGGGGUGGGAAGGCUGUGGUUUUCUCCUAUGGUUUUAGUAAGCAUGUUGAUCUAUUAACACAUGCCUAAUGAAAGCUUCGCUUCAGUUUGGAAGUUGUUCGCUUAGAAAAGAGAACCAGUGCUGGUGAUGGGAGGAGAGGAAGCGCAGCGGUCUGGUGGCUUCUGCUAUCAAAUAUGUCCCUCUUAAAUCAUUCCACUAUGUAAUUGGGAAGGUCGACCGGUUCGGAUAUCUCUGCGCUUGUUUUUCCAUGUGAGUGAAUUCUCGUUACCCUCUUGAGCUCAUUAAUUAACAUUGAAAAAGCUUUCUUGGGCUGUCUAUUUUAUUUUAUAUUUCUGUUUUUUUUGUUUUGGUUGCUCGUGAUAUACCAAGACCAGCUAGAGAAGGUUUGUUCCCGCUCCUUAAUUUUCUGCAAGGGAGUUAUCAUGGGAAAGACCCGUAUAUUAAUUAGGAGCUUAAUGGGCGUGUUGCCUCGUCAACUAUAUGUACAUGUUUAUGCUUCUUUCUUCUUUCUCCCUUCGGUAAGAAGCGGGGUUGAUAUCCUAUUAGCCUAUUUAUGUGCCUGCUAUUACUAAAACCCCAAGGACAUAGUGGAAACAACAUUGUUCGCUCACAAGCUGGAAGUUUGCAGAUGAUAUAAAAGCUAUGAUGGGGAUCUCCUCAGUUGUUUUUGCUUGGGAAACAAGGCUGAGUGUGGCAUGGACAAUAUUUAAUAUUGUUAGGUAGAUGUAAUAACACAUCUGUAUAUAUGCAUGUAUUCGGCUUCCCUUUGAUUAAUGGGAUGUCGAGGAAUUACAUGGCAGUAGAUCCCGUGCAGUGACUUCAGGAGAGAUUCAAAGUUCGGGGACAGCAGGUGCCAGGUGCUUCUGCUGAAGGCAUGGUCUCUUUUACGGGUUGACUAAGCCAAGUGGUCGGGGGGAGGGAAGAAGGUUGCUUUGACUUUCUGUUCAUGCUUUUGUAAGGAGGUUUAAUAAUGAAACAUUUUCACAGUAUUCUGGCACGUACAUUAGACUUCACAGUUUGUUCAAUUAGUUGUAUUAGUUGGACUCUAAGGACUGCCUUUUGGUUUCUAACCAACUGUACGAUCCUUUAUGUCUUUCGAAGUCUUUUAGUCUGCUGUCUAUAAUCUA